GCCUUUGUGGUGUAAUGGUCAGCACACGCGUAUUCGGAAGAUCCAGGUUCAAUUCCCGGUGAGGGCA
This 67-nucleotide transfer RNA is filed under the name Stegodyphus mimosarum. It matches the Rfam family "tRNA". Rfam says of the family: Transfer RNA (tRNA) molecules are approximately 80 nucleotides in length. Their secondary structure includes four short double-helical elements and three loops (D, anti-codon, and T loops). The record is from Rfam by way of RNAcentral. Lineage: Eukaryota; Metazoa; Arthropoda; Arachnida; Araneae; Eresidae.